Molecule: ribosomal RNA, 275 nt
Filed under: uncultured Aquicella sp.
Lineage: Bacteria; Pseudomonadati; Pseudomonadota; Gammaproteobacteria; Legionellales; Coxiellaceae
Description: partial 16S ribosomal RNA
Rfam family: Bacterial small subunit ribosomal RNA
Source: RNAcentral
CCUACGGGUGGCAGCAGUGGGGAAUAUUGGACAAUGGGGGCAACCCUGAUCCAGCGAUGCCGCGUGAGUGAAGAAGGCCUUCGGGUCGUAAAGCUCUUUAGGCUGGGAAGAAGGAUGAGUGGUGCAUAGCCACGCAUCUUGACGGUACCGGCAGAAUAAGCACCGGCAAACUCUGUGCCAGCAGCCGCGGUAAUACAGAGGGUGCGAGCGUUAAUCGGAGUUACUGGGUGUAAAGGGCGCGUAGGCGGCAUGAUGUGUGCGAUGUGAAAGCCCCG